AGUCAAGGAAACUUUUUUUAAGCUAUUGACAGCUUUUAACAACUUAGUAUACUCCUAAGAACAAAAUGUGGAGCAUAUUUCUCUUUACAUGAUUUCUCCAGAAUUUGGAAACUAUUUGGCAUGAGACUUCACAAAGUGCUAAAAUUGAGCUUUCCUAAUAAUGUGGGACCUACUCAUCUAGGAAUAAACCAUCCUAGCCAUGAGAGAUGAGACAAAACCUGAAACCAGAGACUCAUUUUCUUCUAAAAUGCUUUCUCCAAAAGAUUUUCAAAAGAAAAGUGGGAAGGUGAAAAGAAAAUAAAUUGGCGGUUCCAAAAUGGCCAAAUAGGAACAGCGCCAGUCUACAGCUCCCAGCUUGAGCGACGCAGAAGACGGGUGAUUUCUGCAUUUCAAACUGAGGCCUGGGAUAUAUAAGCCAAAAAGAAAACCCAGCAAACUCAGUGCAUUGAAUCCCAAAGUCCCUAACUAGUGUGCCUUCUCUUCACUUUUUGGAGUCUUCUUUUGUUUGUUUCAUCUGUGAAACACAGGGGACAUGGUGGUUAAAGGAGCUCCACAGACCUUCUCUCUCCAAAAAAUUACCAUAAAUGAUAAGUUGAAAAAAAUAUAAAAAACAAACAACAACUAAAAAAACAUUUCAAAGCUCUGGAAAUUGUCCUAAGGAUCACUGGAAGUGAAAAAACAUUUAUUUAAGAAAAUCCAAUAAAUCUUGGUAAGAACUUUGAGAUUCUGUGGCAUUUAAGCCACAAUCUUGUCUUCCCCUACCCAUAGCUCAGCAUGAUGAAAGCUUCAUUCCAAGGAGAUGUGGCCAAGAAACAGAGCUUCUUCUUUCUCAUUUUCCAGUCUAGAACUGUGGCGUCUCCCCAUGAGGGGCAGGCCUCCAACUUUUCUCAUUCUCUUAGCUCUGUGUUACAGAAGCUUUAUUGUAGGCAACAAUAGGGCUCUCGCAAAGCAUGUCUUACACCUAUAAUCCCAGCUCUUUGGAAGGCCAAGGUGAAGGAUUGCUUGAGUACAGGAAUUCAAGACCAGCCCUGGCAACAUAGCCAGACUUUAUCUCGACAAAAAUAAAAAAAAAA
Homo sapiens (human) is the source of this 1073-nucleotide long non-coding RNA. RefSeq lists it as uncharacterized. Lineage: Eukaryota; Metazoa; Chordata; Mammalia; Primates; Hominidae. The transcript has 3 exons. The record is from RefSeq and is a predicted model, not a curated record.